RNAcentral lists this ribosomal RNA (1010 nucleotides) under Phyllocoptes fructiphilus. RNAcentral describes it as "eukaryotic LSU rRNA". It matches the Rfam family "Eukaryotic large subunit ribosomal RNA", at positions 56 to 632 of the family's 3401-position model. The record is from RNAcentral. Lineage: Eukaryota; Metazoa; Arthropoda; Arachnida; Trombidiformes; Eriophyidae.
GAAAAGAAAGCAAAAGCGAUUUCCCAAGUAACGGCGAGUGAACAGGAAUAAGCCUAGCGCUAAGGCUCAAUAGGAUGGUCAGCAGCAAUGUUGGUCGUCGUUUCGACAAGCUAUUGAGCGGUGCAGCGUUACAAACCACGAUGUUUAGUAGUACCAUUGGUAGUAAGUUGGCAACAAUUUGCUACUCCUAGCCUAGCAUGCAAGUUCUAUUGAAUGGGACUAAUUGCAAAUGACUAAGCACUUGGGGCAACUUGAGUGUUUGGUUGAGCCAGAGCGGGUGUAAGCCCUAUACCGUGCAGGCAUUGGUACGACGAAUUGUGGAUGGGGUCUCCAAAGUGGGGCUCCAGCUUUGUUAGAGUCGAGUUGCUUGAGAGUGCAACUUAAAGUGCGAGGUAAACUACUCGUAAGGCUAUGCAAUACGGCUACGACACCGAUAGCAAACAAGUACCGUGAGGGAAAGUUGAAAUAGAACUUUGCAGAGAGAGUUAACAGGGCGUGAAACCGUUAAUUGGCAAACGAAUCGGAGCCACGAAGUCGUUUCGCUGGUCAAUCCAAGUUCAGUUUGGGAUAGCAAUAUCUCGGGCGUAUUCUUGUUGGUUGGCCAUUGUAAGCGUACACUGCAACCAGUUAGACAAUUGGCGAUGGGCCAAGUUGGGUAGAAGCCUCGGUGACUACUUAACGAAGUGCUUGUUUGCUCUAACUAGUAGUGAUAUUGUGUUUCUUCGGGAACAUGGUGUUGCUGGGUUAGAGUAAGUGAACUAUCACCAAAUACUGACUGGCACAAUGAAACUUGCUCUUAUGAGCGUGAUACACAAUGCGGCUACUCGUGUCUAAUGUCUACACAGUCAACCGUAGGGUUUAAGUUCGGCAUUUUUGAAUUUGGGCUUGCUUUCUACCAGUGGGGCAACUCCUGGUGUUGGUAUUGUCACCAUCUAAUCGGGUGUCGACUUGAUUUUGCGUUGUUUGGAUGUGCUACGAUUGGAUGUUAGAUCGAAGUGGUUUGCAAUUGA